AGAUUGUCACACACUAUCAGGUCAUUUGUCUUACAGUGGAGCCUCACUCCUUACUCCUCAGGGCCUCAGGAAAUCUGCCAUGCAUCCAGAGUUUUCCAGAGGCAGACUUUACUGUGUUUCUACUGUGAAGUGAAGGGGAUUGGUAUGCUGAUAUCACCAAGGACUGAGGAUGAGGCUGCAUUGGGGGUGGGGCGUGGGGGUGGGAGACAGAGAGAUUCACAGGAACUGAUAAGCCCACACUAAUUUGUAUUUGCUUCCUCAUCCCCAGAUUGCCAUAAGACAGACCACAAAGAGAAUCCCAUAAGCUAGCAAACAGCACAAACAUAAACUCUGUCAGUGAAUUGAAAGGCAGCACCUUAGAGAAAUCUCAAGAGUAACUGUUUUCAUGAGAACAUUAACUUGGUGCACGCACUGUCAAGGGUGUUCGUUUAUGAAGCCUUACCAUAACAGACUCAGACACUGUGAAGCAGAAGAAGCCAGAAGAGAGAGCAGGACCCUCCAAAUUCUGGAUUUCAAAAUAUUCAUCUAGAAGAGAUGGAAAGCCUGGUCCUUAAAAGGAGUGCAUAGUUCUUCAAUAAUAAAACAGCCAACAUUUUUCUCCUUUUAAAUUUGCUCCUGGAUUUGUAAUUUAAGAAGUUCCCUCAACUUCUGAACCUGUAUGUCAGGCAGUUGUGGAGUCCUACAGACUGGAAAGGCUUGGGGAGAGAUGCAUGCUGUGAUGAGAAAUACCGGAGCACGAAUUAGAAGCAACGAUGGUUAUCAGCCUCAUAGAGGCGGAUGGGCUUCCUCCCAUCCCGCCCUGGAACACAUGGAAUGCCAGGGAAUGGUUGGCUGGGGAACUCUUCCACAGUGUCACAAGCACUGGAAAAGAGAAUGCAAGAGACUGAUGAGCAAAUCCUGGAGCAAAGCAAUCUGCUACCUCCUGCCUCUCAGAGAGGGAUGCCUGGCCUGGUGUGGUAAGUCCCAGGGCUUGAGAGGAGGUAAAGAGAACAGGAUGUGAGGAGGCCAGGGCAGAAGGGCAAAGAGAGACUUAGAGGAGCAUCACAGUCAUUCCAUUAGCAGAAUAUUCUCUUGAACUCAGCCCAGCUUCCAUGUUGCUGAAAAGUCAUCAUUUUCUACAAAGAUUGGUAUAAAACAUACAGAAAAGAGUAAGAAAAAUGGAAAAAGAAACGAGGAGAGACAGUAGCUUGAAAAUUGUGAGUCUGAUUCCUGCUUUUGCCAGAUGGAGUAAAACAUUUAAAAUCAUGAGCAGGUAUUUUGAAAUUGGCCAUUCAGACUUCUUACAGACAGGCCUGGUCCACAGUCCGGUCAGUGGGAGGUAUACACGGACUAAUAGCACUUAGGGACAAUGGCCUUUCAAUGGCCAUCAGGUACCAGAGCUUCUAAAUUGGCCAAUUUCAUGUGUCAGAAGGGCAAAAGAUACACAAUCACAUAAAAAAGACACUUUAAUCCAGUCAUUAUAAAGGAGGGACAGAACAGAGUGGUGGCUGUGUGUUUAUGGGUGUAUCUGUAAUUUCAAAGAGGUUCAU
Peromyscus maniculatus bairdii (prairie deer mouse) is the source of this 1529-nucleotide non-coding RNA. The record is from RefSeq and is a predicted model, not a curated record. Lineage: Eukaryota; Metazoa; Chordata; Mammalia; Rodentia; Cricetidae.